UUGGUGGGGUAAUGGCCUACCAAGGCUUUGACGGGUAGCCGGCCUGAGAGGGUGACCGGCCACACUGGGACUGAGACACGGCCCAGACUCCUACGGGAGGCAGCAGUGGGGAAUAUUGGACAAUGGGCGGAAGCCUGAUCCAGCAACGCCGCGUGAGGGAUGACGGCCUUCGGGUUGUAAACCUCUUUCAGCACAGACGAAGCUGACUCCACGUGUGGGGCGGGUGACGGUAUGUGCAGAAGAAGCACCGGCCAACUACGUGCCGGCAGCCGCGGUAAUACGUAGGGUGCGAGCGUUGUCCGGAAUUAUUGGGCGUAAAGGGCUCGUAGGCGGUUUGUCGCGUCGGGAGUGAAAUCCACUGGCUUAACUGGUGGCUUGCUUUCGAUAUGGGCAGACUGGAGGUAUGCAGGGGAGAACGGAAUUCCUGGUGUAGCGGUGAAAUGCGCAGAUAUCAGGAGGAACACCGGUGGCGAAGGCGGUUCUCUGGGCAUGUCCUGACGCUGAGGAGCGAAAGUGUGGGGAGCGAACAGGAUUAGAUACCCUGGUAGUCCACACCGUAAACGUUGGGCGCUAGGUGUGGGAUCCAUUCCACGGGUUCCGUGCCGCAGCUAACGCAUUAAGCGCCCCGCCUGGGGAGUACGG
Molecule: ribosomal RNA, 642 nt
Filed under: uncultured bacterium
Lineage: Bacteria
Description: bacterial SSU rRNA
Rfam family: Bacterial small subunit ribosomal RNA
Source: RNAcentral